This 265-nucleotide ribosomal RNA is filed under the name uncultured bacterium. Its description in RNAcentral is "partial 16S ribosomal RNA". It matches the Rfam family "Bacterial small subunit ribosomal RNA", at positions 88 to 354 of the family's 1533-position model. The record is from RNAcentral.
CCGGCGACCGGCGCACGGGUGAGUAACACGUAUGCAACCUGCCCUCUUCAGGGGGACAACCUUCCGAAAGGGAGGCUAAUCCCGCGUAUAUCGGUUUCGGGCAUCCGAGAUCGAGGAAAGAUUCAUCGGAAGAGGAUGGGCAUGCGGCGCAUUAGCUAGACGGCGGGGUAACGGCCCACCGUGGCGACGAUGCGUAGGGGUUCUGAGAGGAAGGUCCCCCACACUGGUACUGAGACACGGACCAAACUCCUACGGAAGGCAGCAG